Molecule: non-coding RNA, 878 nt
Organism: Sus scrofa (pig)
Lineage: Eukaryota; Metazoa; Chordata; Mammalia; Artiodactyla; Suidae
Source: RefSeq, a predicted model, not a curated record
GCCUGGGAACUUCCAUAUGCUGCAGGUGCGGCCCUAGAAAAGACAAAAAAAGAAAAAAAAAAAAUUUAUUCAGUACCUACCCUAAGCCAGUCACUGAUGAGCAGAAGCAAACAUGGCCAUUGUUCUCAGGGAGCUACUGAGAAAGUCAGAUGUUGAGUCAGAUAAAGACACAAAUGAAUAUAAAGCCACCACAUGGUAACAGCUACAAGAGUGAUGCACGGAGAGUUCCCUUGUGACUCAGAGGGUUAAGGAUCUGGCAUUGUCACCACAGCACUUUAUGUCACUGCUGUGGCAUGGGUUUGAUCCCUGGUCUGGGAACUUCCACAUGCCACAGGUGCGCCAAAAAAUAAGAAGAAGAAGAUGGGGGAGGAGGAGAAGGAGAAGAAGAAAGAGCGGUUCAUGGAGACGCAAGUCAAGGAAGCUUUGGUUUCUUUGUGGGCCCCAGUGAAGAGGUGAUGAGGUGAAGACAUCUUCAAUGAGAUUUCAAAAGCUAUAAGCAUCUGCCUCAAAACGGUGCACUUCUUACCUUGUAAAGAUUUCACAGAGAAGAUGGAUGGAACACAAGAGAAAAAUCUCCAGAAAGAAAUGCCUGAAAUACACGUUCUGUAUUGCUGGUUGCCCAAGAGCAGCACCAUUAUAACUCCGUACACAGAUGACAUGAUGAUAGAUCUGCAAGGACUAGAAACCUGAUGCAAAUGAAGUCAAUAGCAUUCUGGGAUUACUAUGGUGUCUGCAGAAACUAUUGGGUUGGAAUUCCUACUCUGGUGCAUGCAUGCAUUUUAUCUACCCCUCCCUUCUCUACACAUCUGACAGCGGCUAGAGAAUGCCUCCAUCAAGACUUAUUGGAAUAUUCCUAUAAAACUGCAUGUGGUCUUGGU